UCAGAAAAAUUCCUACAUAUAAUGUAUAUAUAUAAUUGAUAUAUUUAUACAAUUAUUAAUUUAUGAUAUUGAUGGGACCAUAUAUUUACAUAGAACUUUCAAAAAAGUUAUUAUCUUAUUAAUUUAUCGAUUUGUGUCACUUUUUACACUGGUACAAAUUCGGGAUUGGAAAAAUUUAUUAAUUUAUAAAGGUUAUUAAUUUAUCGACUAUUAAUUUAUAGAAGUUUAACUGUAUGUUAUAAAUAUCAUCAUAUACUGUACUUUGGUCACUCUUUCUAUUAACUUCUUCUUUUUUUUUAAAAGAAUUUGGAAUUAUGUCGUAGU
Molecule: small RNA, 324 nt
Filed under: Arabidopsis thaliana (thale cress)
Lineage: Eukaryota; Viridiplantae; Streptophyta; Magnoliopsida; Brassicales; Brassicaceae
Description: ATSL050520
Source: RNAcentral